AUUAGAAAAAUAACAAAUCCGAUUUUUCCUCCUGAUUUUCAGUUUUUUCGUCCUGAAAAAAAUUCAAAUCCAACUAAAAAUUUUAAAAAUCAGGAGGAGAAAUCAUAUUUGUCAUUUUUCUAUU
Gossypium hirsutum (cotton) is the source of this 124-nucleotide non-coding RNA. Lineage: Eukaryota; Viridiplantae; Streptophyta; Magnoliopsida; Malvales; Malvaceae. The record is from Rfam.